RNAcentral lists this long non-coding RNA (239 nucleotides) under Vigna radiata. RNAcentral describes it as "long non-coding RNA (VRAD_LNC009750)". The record is from RNAcentral. Lineage: Eukaryota; Viridiplantae; Streptophyta; Magnoliopsida; Fabales; Fabaceae.
UUCUGUUGACGUUGAUUUGUCUUCAUCUUGACUUGAUUCUUAUUUUAAAUUGAUCUGAAUCACUUUAAUUAAACAUUGAUGAUUUUUUAAUUUAUUUAUAUCGAUUUAAUCCUAAACUAUUUUUUGUUCAACUUAGACACCUUAAUUUUAAAUUUUCAAAAUAAUAUAAAUCCAAUUUAAUGAUUUGAACUUAAAAUCGAAAUUUAAAUUUGAGAUAAAUUUAUUUAGAUAGAGUUUAA